GCCGGCGUACUCCAACUGGCAGAGAGCCGCGGUUUAGGUCCGCGUCAGUGCGGGUUCGAAUCCCGCCGCCGGCA
This 74-nucleotide transfer RNA is filed under the name Pseudonocardia sp. RNAcentral's name for it is "tRNA-Leu". It matches the Rfam family "tRNA". Rfam says of the family: Transfer RNA (tRNA) molecules are approximately 80 nucleotides in length. Their secondary structure includes four short double-helical elements and three loops (D, anti-codon, and T loops). Further hydrogen bonds mediate the characteristic L-shaped molecular structure. tRNAs have two regions of fundamental functional importance: the anti-codon, which is responsible for specific mRNA codon recognition, and the 3' end, to which the tRNAs corresponding amino acid is attached (by aminoacyl-tRNA synthetases). tRNAs cope with the degeneracy of the genetic code in two manners: having more than one tRNA (with a specific anti-codon) for a particular amino acid; and 'wobble' base-pairing, i.e. permitting non-standard base-pairing at the 3rd anti-codon position. RNAcentral also lists the same sequence under 3 other names. Lineage: Bacteria; Bacillati; Actinomycetota; Actinomycetes; Pseudonocardiales; Pseudonocardiaceae. The record is from RNAcentral.